GAUGGACCCGCGUCUGAUUAGCUUGUUGGCGGGGUAACGGCCCACCAAGGCAACGAUCAGUAGCCGGCCUGAGAGGGUGAACGGCCACAUUGGGACUGAGACACGGCCCAAACUCCUACGGGAGGCAGCAGUGGGGAAUAUUGGACAAUGGGGGGAACCCUGAUCCAGCGACGCCGCGUGAGUGAAGAAGUAUUUCGGUAUGUAAAGCUCUAUCAGCAGGGAAGAAAGAAAUGACGGUACCUGACUAAGAAGCCCCGGCUAACUACGUGCCAGCAGCCGCGGUAAUACGUAGGGGGCAAGCGUUAUCCGGAUUUACUGGGUGUAAAGGGAGCGUAGACGGCGAUGCAAGUCUGAAGUGAAAGGCGGGGGCCCAACCCCCGGACUGCUUUGGAAACUGUAUGGCUGGAGUGCAGGAGAGGUAAGUGGAAUUCCUAGUGUAGCGGUGAAAUGCGUAGAUAUUAGGAGGAACACCAGUGGCGAAGGCGGCUUACUGGACUGUAACUGACGUUGAGGCUCGAAAGCGUGGGGAGCAAACAGGAUUAGAUACCCUGGUAGUCCACGCCGUAAAC
This 569-nucleotide ribosomal RNA is filed under the name uncultured bacterium. RNAcentral describes it as "bacterial SSU rRNA". It matches the Rfam family "Bacterial small subunit ribosomal RNA", at positions 224 to 807 of the family's 1533-position model. The record is from RNAcentral.